Molecule: long non-coding RNA, 830 nt
Organism: Anastrepha obliqua
Lineage: Eukaryota; Metazoa; Arthropoda; Insecta; Diptera; Tephritidae
Exons: 3
Source: RefSeq, a predicted model, not a curated record
CUCUGAAAGAAAAAAUAUACCUGAAAAAAAUUUCGGGACUCAGAAAAAAACAUUUUUUUAUUUCAUUUAUUCUUGUCAUUUAUUACGAGUCAAAACAAAGUUGUUUGUACAAAAGGAAUAGAAUAAUAAUGAGUUUUAGAGUGAAAUGUAAUACGAAAUCUCUUUAUGAAGAGGCAUAAGAAGCAUGUGUAAUCAACUUUUAAGUGUUGUUGGCACACCGGAUUAGUGCAUGGACUACUCAUUUUAACGCAGCGAUACAUUUUACAUACGUCGCCAAGUAGUGCAACUUUGAAAAGUCUGAAGCGAAGAAAAAUGUUAAGAAGUUUUGGCUAAAUGAUUGGCCCUGGUAGCAACAAAUCGUUUAGCGAAUACCCUGAAGUGGUUUUAGCGGACUCAUCAAAAACCACGCGCAGUUUUGUAGUGGUACUGUCCCGCUUCUUAACGCAGUGAUGCACGCCCUGAAUCUACCUAAAGCAACAUAAUACGAUUCACCAAGAGCAUCAAGAUCGGAUUUAGGUGGCAGUCUAACAUAGUAGUCUCCUGAAGGUAAACAAAGAAAAUUUUAUACGAAAUGCUGCUCACAAAAAGCGUCCUCUUCUGGCAACGCUGGAGUAGGACCGAAACCAUUUUCGAUCUCCCAAAAGCGUUUACCAAUGUUUGUGAUACGCCUCCAGAAACCACCCAGCAAUCCUAAAUUGGCCAACGCAAAUUAAGUCAUAGAACAAUUCCGGACCGAUCAAAAUAUCAAUACGAUUUGCUUUAAAGAAUGAUGGGUCAUCUAAGUUAAUGUUAUUCGGUAUGUUCCAGCCCUCAAUGCUGAUAUCAAAAUU